UCGUUCUUAGUUUUAGACGUGUUUUGGUGUGUUUGGGGAGAUUAAUUCCGAUUGAAACCGUCCAAAACUGAGGCUGAC
Molecule: microRNA precursor, 78 nt
Filed under: Drosophila busckii
Lineage: Eukaryota; Metazoa; Arthropoda; Insecta; Diptera; Drosophilidae
Description: mir-957 microRNA precursor family
Rfam family: mir-957 microRNA precursor family
Source: Rfam by way of RNAcentral